Molecule: non-coding RNA, 225 nt
Filed under: unclassified sequences
Description: RT-2 RNA
Rfam family: RT-2 RNA
About the family: Coriobacteriales (Actinobacteria), Clostridiales (Firmicutes). Downstream gene
Source: Rfam by way of RNAcentral
UAUGGCCAGACAAAGUAAACCGGGCGACCGGUCGAAAUCAGCGCCUUUAUGGAAGGAGUGGACGACCUUCCCGAAAGGGUAAAUUCGCGCCUCGACGCAAGCGGGCGAACGCUUCUUGCAUGGCGUGUGCCGGAGUAAAACACGUUUCAUGCCCGAUCUUGCUACGCAGUUUAGACGCUCCCCUACAAGAAAUUGUGCGAGGUGUACUUUUUUAUUAUGAACAGU